ACUUUUCGUCUCUUAAUGCAUGGAAUAGACCAAGGAGAGGCAGGCAUUCUGAUUUCAACGAAAGCCCCUGUUUAUGUCCAGCCAUUCAAGGGAUAAAAUAUCUGGUCCACUUCAGCAAAACGAAAACGGUUGAAUCAGCGGGCCACCUGGAUCCCAAUUCAUCAUCGUCAGCCUUUUCGAGUUUUUUUAAUGUCCCUGUCACCAAAAUUUUCAGAUCCCACUCCUCUUUCCGUCUCCUAGAAAGUUUCGGCAGAUUCACUUCACCAGAUCCUUGACUCAAUCGGCCGCUUAUGUCAUACAAGGAGAGAUUCUUUGCUUAAAAUUUGAGCUGCUGCUACAACGUCUCCAAACGUACUGUUUUAGCAUCUCAACGGCUCAUAUUCAAAAUGCGGUGGUUAAAUUUGAAGGGGAGAAAAAGAUAGAGCACUAUGAGUCAUGUGACUGACCAAAAAGAGGCAUAGGAUGCUCAAAUAAAGGCUGGAAGACCUAACAAUGUCGUGGCCCGUGGGAGCCACCACGCAUGCUAAUCAGAGGAUAAGAACCGAAAGGCUUUUUAAGUCAAGAGUCAGAGAUGCCCUUGUAGCCCUCUAUUUAAACGAGAAGCAAGAUGAGCCCCCCUCAUCUAGGGUUUCAAGGGCGGCAGCCGUGUAGGAGAAAGUAAAGGGAGAGUGAGAGAAUGGGGAGCGUCUGGAUUGGGGGCCGAUGGAAAGGGUCCCUAAACAUUUGAAGAUGUGUGAAGAUACCUUUCCCAGACCCCCAAUACCAAAGGCUUCCCACCUUCCCAUCCCUUCCUUCUCUCUGCAUCUCUGGAUCCACGCUUCUUAUCCGUCUCACAUGUUGGUAGACAAAAAUGCAUUCGGUGCUGAAACGGCUUAAAGCUUUGUCGGUGGAGUCAUGAGGAGGCUUAAAGAAGAACAUAAUCUCUACAAUGCUCUUCAAGUAACUUGACAUCUUCAGUUGCAGACUUGGUUGGUAGAGGAUCAAUUCUCUUGCUGUAGAAAAUUUGGUGAAAAUGAUUUGCAACAAUGAGAUAACCCAUGUUCUUUGGAUAUGCUUCAAAAUCUCUACUGAUAAUCCUAGCUCUCCAAUGUCUGAUCUAAUUAAUUGGGGGCUCAACACAAAUAUCACUAAAUUCCAGAGGGCAAGACAACAGUGUUGGUCUUCUA
Long non-coding RNA from Vitis vinifera (wine grape), 1166 nucleotides. RefSeq lists it as uncharacterized. The record is from RefSeq and is a predicted model, not a curated record. Lineage: Eukaryota; Viridiplantae; Streptophyta; Magnoliopsida; Vitales; Vitaceae. The transcript is spliced from 3 exons.